UACGGAGGGUGCAAGCGUUAUCCGGAAUGAUUGGGUUUAAAGGGUGCGUAGGCGGCCUUAUAAGUCAGCGGUGAAAGCUUUUGGCUUAACCAAAAAAUUGCCGUUGAUACUGUAGAGCUUGAAUUUUUGUGAAGUAACUAGAAUAUGUAGUGUAGCGGUGAAAUGCUUAGAUAUUACGUGGAAUACCAAUUGCGAAGGCAGGUUUCUAACAAACGAUUGACGCUGAUGGACGAAAGCGUGGGUAGCGAACAGG
This 253-nucleotide ribosomal RNA is filed under the name uncultured Flavobacterium sp. RNAcentral describes it as "partial 16S ribosomal RNA". It matches the Rfam family "Bacterial small subunit ribosomal RNA", at positions 524 to 776 of the family's 1533-position model. The record is from RNAcentral. Lineage: Bacteria; Pseudomonadati; Bacteroidota; Flavobacteriia; Flavobacteriales; Flavobacteriaceae.